CCGAUGGAGGGGGAUAACUACUGGAAACGGUAGCUAAUACCGCAUAACGUCGCAAGACCAAAGAGGGGGACCUUCGGGCCUCUUGCCAUCGGAUGUGCCCAGAUGGGAUUAGCUAGUAGGUGGGGUAACGGCUCACCUAGGCGACGAUCCCUAGCUGGUCUGAGAGGAUGACCAGCCACACUGGAACUGAGACACGGUCCAGACUCCUACGGGAGGCAGCAGUGGGGAAUAUUGCACAAUGGGCGCAAGCCUGAUGCAGCCAUGCCGCGUGUAUGAAGAAGGCCUUCGGGUUGUAAAGUACUUUCAGCGAGGAGGAAGGCAUUGUGGUUAAUAACCGCAGUGAUUGACGUUACUCGCAGAAGAAGCACCGGCUAACUCCGUGCCAGCAGCCGCGGUAAUACGGAGGGUGCAAGCGUUAAUCGGAAUUACUGGGCGUAAAGCGCACGCAGGCGGUCUGUCAAGUCGGAUGUGAAAUCCCCGGGCUCAACCUGGGAACUGCAUCCGAAACUGGCAGGCUAGAGUCUUGUAGAGGGGGGUAGAAUUCCAGGUGUAGCGGUGAAAUGCGUAGAGAUCUGGAGGAAUACCGGUGGCGAAGGCGGCCCCCUGGACAAAGACUGACGCUCAGGUGCGAAAGCGUGGGGAGCAAACAGGAUUAGAUAC
This 660-nucleotide ribosomal RNA is filed under the name Citrobacter murliniae. RNAcentral's name for it is "bacterial SSU rRNA". It matches the Rfam family "Bacterial small subunit ribosomal RNA", at positions 130 to 785 of the family's 1533-position model. Lineage: Bacteria; Pseudomonadati; Pseudomonadota; Gammaproteobacteria; Enterobacterales; Enterobacteriaceae. The record is from RNAcentral.